Molecule: long non-coding RNA, 343 nt
Filed under: Microcebus murinus (gray mouse lemur)
Lineage: Eukaryota; Metazoa; Chordata; Mammalia; Primates; Cheirogaleidae
Description: lncRNA (ENSMICG00000048199.1)
Source: RNAcentral
GCGGGGCCGCGGCGCCCGACUGCCCGCCUGGGGCUGCCGAGGAGCGUGUUCAUUCCACGCGGUGAGUGUUCCCUGGCCCACAAGAGAGUCAUCCAGGCCUUGUACCCAGAGUCCCUCCUGGGCUGACAGCAGAAGUUCCAGUAAGCCGUUGCCGAAUACCCAGCACUCACGUGUUUUCACCAAGGAGCCAGGCUUCCAUGCUGCUCUGGAAUGGAGAGCAAGAAGACCCUGAGCUCCCUGGAUCCUGACAACAUGGUUGGUGUGUGAGGUCAGCCAGGUGUGGACUCACAGCUCCUGGUGGGAGCCAGCAAGAAGCAGCCCGCGGCCUACAGAGGCAUCUGAG